RNAcentral lists this unclassified non-coding RNA (250 nucleotides) under plant metagenome. RNAcentral describes it as "partial contains small subunit ribosomal RNA, internal transcribed spacer 1, and 5.8S ribosomal RNA". The record is from RNAcentral.
GUAGGUGAACCUGCGGAAGGAUCAUUAACACGAUUCCUGCAUCGACUGACUCGGUUUUACCGCUGACGUCGUCGAUGCAUAAUCACAUCAAUGUUGACUGAGUUUUUCUCCCUAGUAUCUCCGGCCUCGGCUGGAGCACUCUAGGAUCAUGUCGUGUCCCCUGGCAUUCGAUUGCAAGCUCGCCCGACGAUUCGUCGUCCGCCGAGUGGGGCAUGGCGCCUAUUCAACCACACACCUAACACAUAAAUCG